Molecule: microRNA, 23 nt
Filed under: Homo sapiens (human)
Lineage: Eukaryota; Metazoa; Chordata; Mammalia; Primates; Hominidae
Description: hsa-miR-4722-5p
Source: miRBase by way of RNAcentral
GGCAGGAGGGCUGUGCCAGGUUG